Molecule: long non-coding RNA, 1099 nt
Filed under: Olea europaea subsp. europaea
Lineage: Eukaryota; Viridiplantae; Streptophyta; Magnoliopsida; Lamiales; Oleaceae
Source: RNAcentral
UUUAGAUUUAGGGGAUUUGUUCUGUAAUUUUCUCGUAUGUGAAAUUUGAAUUAUCGUUAGAUAAAUUAUGUUGUUGUACAUUAUUCGAAAUUAUAAUUGAUUUGUUUGUUGCAGGGAAAGAAAUUUUGGAAUAUAUGGAUGACAUUAUACCGGUGGAGUCCGAUAAUGAGAAUGUUGUGAAAAAUACAAACAUACUAGGUGAUGAUAUGUUAGUUAGAGAUAGUGUGAUUGUGCCUGAGGUGGGUAUGAAAUUUAAGGAUGAAAAUGAAAUGUUCAAUUUUUACAAAAGAUUUGCAUACAAAAUUGGUUUCCUAGUUAGAAAAAGAAAUUCAAGAAAGGAUGAUGAUGGAGUAUUGAGAAAUAUUAUAUGUGUUUGUAGUCGUGACGGAAAAAGAAUAAGAAAUACAAGCAGUUCUUUGAAGUGGCAAGCAACCAUUCAAAGUGGAUGUAAAGCUGGGAUCACUAUGGAGAAUUUGCACGGUACACCUAGACCACAAUCAUAAGACAAGCACUACGAAGUCUAUGCUAUAUCGAUGCAACCAAAAGUUGAGUGCACAUGUGAAACGGUGACUUGAAGUAAAUGACAUGGCCGAAAUUCCAUUACACAAGAGUUUCAAUUCUGCUGUUGUUGAAGCAGGUGGAUAUGAAAAUAUGACUUGCAUCGAAAAUGAUUGUUAAAACUACAUCGAAAAAGUUAGGUGUUUAAGGCUUGGAGAAGGGGACAGAGCAGCAAUACAAUCAUACUUCUCUAAAAUGCAAGCACGGUGCUCGGGCUUUUACUUUAGUAUGGAUUUGGAUGAUGAGUUGCAUCUAAAGAAUGUUUUCUGGGCAGAUAAUAGGAAUAGACAAGUGUAUAAGAAGUUUGGUGAUGUCGUCACAUUCGACACCACAUACCUCACUAACAAGUACGAUAUACCAUUUGCCCCUUUUGUUGGAGUGAACCAUCAUGGACAGUCGACGCUUAGAAUAGCAUAUUCAGUAAUGCAUUUCAAUGUCAAACUGGUCUUUUUGUAAAGUUGGAAUAGCAUAUUAUUGGUGCGAGUAGAUUUCGGUUUCUAUGCAGUACAAUGUCAAAAGUUAUUUUUAUUUUUGAAUGCUG